Long non-coding RNA from Brassica oleracea var. oleracea, 1217 nucleotides. RefSeq lists it as uncharacterized. NCBI's taxonomy places the organism in Eukaryota, Viridiplantae, Streptophyta, Magnoliopsida, Brassicales, Brassicaceae. The record is from RefSeq and is a predicted model, not a curated record. The transcript has 3 exons.
GGCUUCUGUAUGAUUAGUUUAGGCCCAGAAGUGUUUAGGGUUAUUCUUCUUCUGCGUCAUUCUUCUUCUUCCCUCCUCCACGCUGCAGAGAAACCAUAGAAACCGCUCGAACUCCAUCUAUAAAUAUCGGCGCUCACUUCCCUUCACAUCGCAUCUGAAACGAUUUACUCAAACAUACGAUCUCCUAGAAGCAACAUAUUCAGAUGGCGAAUUCAUACACUCUGCUUGCGAAUUUGAGAGCCGGCCGAUGCUCUAAUACUGCUGAGGUCCGCUUGCUGAGGUUCUGGGAGGCCAGAAAUAUCAACAAAGGAGGGGAGCUGAUGAGUAUUGAGAUGCUGCUCAUCGAUGAGGCUGAGGGGAGCUGAUGAGUAUUAAAGCUUUAUUGGGCUUAUCUUUACCCCUCGAAUGUUCUUUAUACUUGAUGUUUGAGGUGUUUUAGUACAGUUGUGGGUCUGACCAAACUGCACCAUCAGGAUAAUUACUUUAAUUUCCAAAGGAAGUUGCGUGAUCAAAAGUAUUCUUUGAAGAGGUUAUAAUAUAAGAUGGAGUACAAGGAAGAUCUACACAGGAGGCUACUACGCUAGACCAAGGUUUCUCAUUAUUGGAUACACCGGAUUGUUUCUCUUUAUCAAGAGAGGUUACUGUGGAAGAGAAUUUUGCAGAGAUUGAGCUUUAUUUGCUUCUCUUCAGGGGUGCGGUACCGAGAGGUAAAGUCUUAACUCCAUGUUCUUUGUUCAAAAAUGACUUUCCAUGAUUGCUUGAGAUAACAAUAUCGUUUAGGUCUCCAUCCACCUUUUCUUUUUAAAUUGCAUCAGUAUUUGCAUUCACAAAAAACCAUACUCUUCUUUCGAAGAUCUUCAAACAUCCAAGUUCAUGAGUGCUCUCUUUUAUAGGUGAGACCAGCUUCCUCUUCUCACCAAGCUAUAAAGUAACAAGAUAUAUAAUUUGAGAGAAUCUUAAGCAUAUAUGUCUAAUACGAUUCAAUACUUCUAAUCCUAAAACUACUCAAGACCAGCCUCCAAAGCAGAUUAUAAUAGAAUUAAGCAUAGACUCAGAUUCUUGCAAAAUCACCAUGUUUUCAUCCUUACUUUACCCAAUAUUUUUAUCUGCUUCCAUUUGAUAUAUUUACCUCCCCACCUUCGAUUUUUCUAUGUAAACUUCCUUGGCAAGGCCUUCGUGCAGGUACCAGAAAUCUGAAUUAUGGCAUGAUCAGUGAA